RNAcentral lists this ribosomal RNA (393 nucleotides) under uncultured bacterium. Its description in RNAcentral is "partial 16S ribosomal RNA". It matches the Rfam family "Bacterial small subunit ribosomal RNA", at positions 523 to 918 of the family's 1533-position model. The record is from RNAcentral.
AUACGGAGGAUGCGAGCGUUAUCCGGAUUUAUUGGGUUUAAAGGGAGCGUAGGUGGGAUAUUAAGUCAGCUGUGAAAGUUUGGGGCUCAACCUUAAAAUUGCAGUUGAUACUGGUUUCCUUGAGUACGGUACAGGUGGGCGGAAUUCGUGGUGUAGCGGUGAAAUGCUUAGAUAUCACGAAGAACUCCGAUCGCGAAGGCAGCUCACCGGGCCGGAACGGACACUGAUGCUCGAAAGUGCGGGUAUCAAACAGGAUUAGAUACCCUGGUAGUCCGCACAGUAAACGAUGAAUACUCGCUGUUUGCUAUACACGGUAAGCGGCCAAGCGAAAGCGUUAAGUAUUCCGCCUGGGGAGUACGCCGGCAACGGUGAAACUUAAAGGAAUUGACGGGG